RNAcentral lists this transfer RNA (72 nucleotides) under Candidatus Shapirobacteria bacterium CG_4_8_14_3_um_filter_39_11. Its description in RNAcentral is "tRNA-Pro". It matches the Rfam family "tRNA". Rfam says of the family: Transfer RNA (tRNA) molecules are approximately 80 nucleotides in length. The record is from RNAcentral. Lineage: Bacteria; Candidatus Shapironibacteriota. RNAcentral also lists the same sequence under 3 other names.
CGGAGCGUAGUUCAUCAGUAGAACGCAUGGUUCGGGACCAUGAGGCAGGAGGUGCGACUCCUCUCGCUCCGA